This 76-nucleotide transfer RNA is filed under the name Rhodospirillaceae bacterium. RNAcentral's name for it is "tRNA-Thr". It matches the Rfam family "tRNA". From Rfam's summary of the family: Transfer RNA (tRNA) molecules are approximately 80 nucleotides in length. Lineage: Bacteria; Pseudomonadati; Pseudomonadota; Alphaproteobacteria; Rhodospirillales; Rhodospirillaceae. RNAcentral also lists the same sequence under 1 other name. The record is from RNAcentral.
GCCGCUUUAGCUCAGCUGGUAGAGCACCGCAUUCGUAAUGCGGGGGUCGCGUGUUCAAAUCACGCAAGCGGCACCA